Small nuclear RNA from Pongo abelii (Sumatran orangutan), 107 nucleotides. Lineage: Eukaryota; Metazoa; Chordata; Mammalia; Primates; Hominidae. The record is from Ensembl.
GUGUGCUUGCUUUGACAACAUACUUACAAAAAAAAAGGAACAAUACAGAGAAAAUUGGCUUGACUCCUACACAAGGAUGACACAUCUGUGAAGCAUUCUAUAUGCUU